CCAAGUCCCGACGCAACCCCCCCCCGCGUCGGGACCUUCCCAGCCGGGCUUCGGCACCUAACCCCCCCCAGGUGCCGGGGCCCGGCUCACUU
This 92-nucleotide non-coding RNA is filed under the name Streptomyces sp. NRRL WC-3618. RNAcentral's name for it is "Streptomyces RNA 3202". It matches the Rfam family "Streptomyces RNA 3202". From Rfam's summary of the family: Identified by deep sequencing of transcriptome at the end of exponential growth phase. Lineage: Bacteria; Bacillati; Actinomycetota; Actinomycetes; Kitasatosporales; Streptomycetaceae. The record is from Rfam by way of RNAcentral.